CAGCCGCCACGGUAAUACGUAGGUCCCGAGCGUUGUCCGGAUUUAUUGGGCGUAAAGCGAGCGCAGGCGGUUAGAUAAGUCUGAAGUUAAAGGCUGUGGCUUAACCGUAGUACGCUUUGGAAACUGUUUAACUUGAGUGCAAGAGGGGAGAGUGGAAUUCCAUGUGUAGCGGUGAAAUGCGUAGAUAUAUGGAGGAACACCGGUGGCGAAAGCGGCUCUCUGGCUUGUAACUUACGCUGAGGCUCGAAAGCGUGGGGAGCAAACAGGAUUAGAUACCCCCGUAGUCCCUGUCUCUUAUACC
RNAcentral lists this ribosomal RNA (301 nucleotides) under uncultured bacterium. RNAcentral's name for it is "partial 16S ribosomal RNA". It matches the Rfam family "Bacterial small subunit ribosomal RNA", at positions 509 to 808 of the family's 1533-position model. The record is from RNAcentral.